This 531-nucleotide ribosomal RNA is filed under the name uncultured bacterium. RNAcentral's name for it is "bacterial LSU rRNA". It matches the Rfam family "Bacterial large subunit ribosomal RNA", at positions 181 to 2583 of the family's 2925-position model. The record is from RNAcentral.
AACCCAGGGAACUGAAACAUCUAAGUACCUGGAGGAAAGGACAUCAACAGAGACUCCGCUAGUAGUGGCGAGCGAACGCGGAUCAGGCCAGUGCCUCAGUGAAGAUAAGUGGAACCUUCUGGAAAGUUGGGCCGUAGCGGGUGAUAGCCCCGUACACGUAAUGCGGAUCUGAGGCCUCGAGUAGGGCGGGACACGUGAAAUCCUGUUCGAACAUGGGGGGACCACCCUCCAAGCCUAAGUACUCCUUACCGACCGAUAGCGAACCAGUACCGUGAGGGAAAGGUGAAAAGCACCCCGACAAGGGGAGUGAAAUAGACCUGAAACCGAAUGCCUACAAACAGUCGGAGCCCGCAAGGGUGACGGCGUACCUUUUGUAUAAUGGGUCUGCGACUUAGUCUGACGAGCAAGCUUAAGGCGAUAGCUGUACAGGCUAGUCUUGUCCAAAAGUUCACAUCGACGACAAGGCUCGGCACCUCGAUGUCGGCUCAUCGCAUCCUGGGGCUGGAUAAGGUCCCAAGGGUUGGCUGUUCG